Chlorocebus sabaeus (green monkey) is the source of this 1774-nucleotide non-coding RNA. Lineage: Eukaryota; Metazoa; Chordata; Mammalia; Primates; Cercopithecidae. The record is from RefSeq and is a predicted model, not a curated record.
GCCGGACGGGUCCUCUCCGAGCAUCCCCCCACCCGCCUGGCGCCAAUGGAGCUGGCCUGCCCCGCCCUGCCCCUCCCCGCCCCGUCCGGGCUCCGACCGGACUUUCAGGACUGCAAGGGAACUGGGGUGGACACCCAGCCUCCCGCCAGGUCACAGGAGGCGAUAAAAAUGGCCCAGGGGAGACAUUGCUGGAGUUGCAUGGAGUUCGGGAGCCUAGGAAGGGUCUGCAAAUAACAGUCAAAAAGUUUGAAGGGUGACGGCGGAGAUACUUUCAACGUAAGAUUGCAGUCAUAAUUACAACAUGAAUAGUAACAGUUUAAGUUCGUUGUACUAGUAUGAACUCAUGUUAGUGUUCGACAUUCUAUGAUCCCAGUCCUGUUUAAGCAAUGUAAUUGAAGACUUUAGUUUGCAGAUCUACCUUUCAGGGACAAAGAACCUAGACAGGGAAAGAGCAGUAACUUUUGACAGAAAUUUAAUACCCCAUUUUGCUUCCUGUGAGAUCUGGUUAUUCUCUUCCUUUCACAUCUGUUCGUAGCUCUUGUAGUUUUCCCAGGCAUUAAAUAAGUAAACCCUCUUUCUUGGAAUCACCAAUAUAUUACUAUACUGGGGGAAAAAAAAGAUUUGAAUUACUUAGGAAGCUGAUGAACUACCCACUCCAACAAUAGAGUCCUGAAAAUCAGUCUUAAGCUUUUGGCCAAACUACUGAAGAUUAUCCCUCCUGACACACACACACCCUCUUUUUGUUGUUGUUGUUGUUGUUGUUGUCGUUGUUUUAACCAGUUGACAGAUCUUUUUUGCAUCAUCACCAUUUUCAGUUUAAAUUCUUACUAGGUUGGAUAAAUGUCACCAUUCUAAUAUCAGCCAUCAUCAUUAUACCUGGUGAAAAAUACAGCAUGUCUGGGCUGCACCCUCACAGUGUCUAAUUCGGUGUUUAUGGGAAAGGGGCCCAGGAGAAUCUGCAUAUCCAGCAAUCCAUGUUUUCAGGGUUGUGGCUUGGGAAAGAACUGUUACAGACUUCUACUCUACCUAAGGACCUAUUUUGUAGCUGUUGCAAUGGAUGGAAUGUUUGUGCUUUCCCUCAAAUUCAUUUGUUAAAAUCCUAACCCCAGUGUGAUGGUAUUAGGAGGUGGGGCCUUUGGGAGGUAAUUCUUGAGCAUAGAGGCCUCAUGAAUGCGAUUAAGUGCCCUUAUAAAAAAGGGACCCAGAGAGCUGUCUCCAUCUUUCUGCCACAUGAGGAUACAAAAACACAGCAGUUUGCAAACCAGAAGAAGGUCCUCACCAGAAACUAACCAUGCUUGGACCUCUAGCCUCCAGAACUGUGAGAAAUAAAUGUGUGUUUAUAAACCAGUCAGUCAGUCUGUGGUGCUUUAUUAUAGCAUCCAGAACGAGCUAAGACAGCUACUAAGUAGCAUUCCAUUUGACAAGGAAGCCUUACCAUGCACACUACUUCUGAGUUCAAUGAAAGAGAGGCUCGGUAAGUUUUAAAAAUCAAAUUUCAAUGAAUUAGUCUAAUUCUCAUUAACAAUUUAAAUUAUUUUUCUAAGAUAUGUUUUAUAUCUUCUAAAAAUUUACCGGUUUGUUAUAAGCAUAUCCAAUUAAUGCUUGAGAUUUUACCUGAUUAGAUCUGCACUUUUACGUCCAACAUUUGCAGGAACCUUCAUUCUACCAGUUCAAAUCCAGAUUUACAGGUAGUUAACCCAUCUGGGUUUUUUUUGUUUUGUUUUGUUUUUGUUUUUGUUUUUUUUCUGCUUCUAUUUUAUAGAAGGCUAGAGCU